AUAAUGAUACUUCUGCCUGGCCAGCGUCACGGCAUUGGGGGCAGCCUGCUCGGAUGAGGGGGAGCUUCAUUCUAAUAGAGGAGCUAUGA
Non-coding RNA from Paenibacillus sabinae T27, 89 nucleotides. Lineage: Bacteria; Bacillati; Bacillota; Bacilli; Caryophanales; Paenibacillaceae. The record is from Rfam.